This 483-nucleotide ribosomal RNA is filed under the name uncultured Enterorhabdus sp. Its description in RNAcentral is "partial 16S ribosomal RNA". Lineage: Bacteria; Bacillati; Actinomycetota; Coriobacteriia; Eggerthellales; Eggerthellaceae. The record is from RNAcentral.
CACGUAGUUAGCCGGAGCUUCUUCUGCAGGUACCGUCGAUGUCUUCCCUGCUGAAAGCGGUUUACAGCCCGAGGGCCUUCGUCCCGCACGCGGCGUUGCUGCGUCAGGGUUUCCCCCAUUGCGCAAAAUUCCCCACUGCUGCCUCCCGUAGGAGUCUGGGCCGUAUCUCAGUCCCAAUGUGGCCGGUCGACCUCUCAGUCCGGCUACCCAUCGUCGGCUAGGUGGGCCUCUACCCCGCCUACUACCCUAAUGGGCCGCGGCCCCAUCCCCCGCCGCCUGGGCUUUCCCGCCGGCCCCAUGCGGGGCCCGCGGAGUACCCCGGUAUUAGCCCGCCGUUUCCAGCGGUCGUCCCGGAGCGGGGGCAGGUGGUCACGUGUUACUCACCCGUUCGCCACUGUAUUCCCGGCCGAAGCCGGCUUAACCGUUCGACUUGCAUGUGUUAGGCACGCCGCCAGCGUUCAUCCUGAGCCAGGAUCAAACUCU